UAGGGAAUCUUCGGCAAUGGGGGGAACCCUGACCGAGCAACGCCGCGUGAGUGAAGAAGGUUUUCGGAUCGUAAAGCUCUGUUGUUAAGGAAGAACGGUAAUGGGAGUGGAAAGUCCAUUACGUGACGGUACUUAACCAGAAAGGGACGGCUAACUACGUGCCAGCAGCCGCGGUAAUACGUAGGUCCCGAGCGUUGUCCGGAUUUAUUGGGCGUAAAGCGAGCGCAGGCGGCUCUAUAAGUCUGAAGUGAAAGGCUAUGGCUCAACCAUAGUAUGCUUUGGAAACUGUAGGGCUUGAGUGCAGAAGGGGAGAGUGGAAUUCCAUGUGUAGCGGUGAAAUGCGUAGAUAUAUGGAGGAACACCGGUGGCGAAAGCGGCUCUCUGGUCUGUGACUGACGCU
This 400-nucleotide ribosomal RNA is filed under the name uncultured bacterium. RNAcentral's name for it is "bacterial SSU rRNA". It matches the Rfam family "Bacterial small subunit ribosomal RNA", at positions 355 to 747 of the family's 1533-position model. The record is from RNAcentral.